GCCAGGUGUGGUGGUGCACACCUGUAAUCCCAGCUACCUGGGAGGCUGAGGCAGGGGAAUCGCUUGAACCUGGGAGGCGCAGGUUGUAGUGAGCGAGGUCGCGCCACUGCACUCUAGCCUGGGUGACAGAGGGAGACUUUGUCUCAA
This is a non-coding RNA of Homo sapiens (human), 147 nucleotides long. It matches the Rfam family "Metazoan signal recognition particle RNA". Rfam says of the family: The signal recognition particle (SRP) is a universally conserved ribonucleoprotein. It is involved in the co-translational targeting of proteins to membranes. The eukaryotic SRP consists of a 300-nucleotide 7S RNA and six proteins: SRPs 72, 68, 54, 19, 14, and 9. The record is from Rfam. Lineage: Eukaryota; Metazoa; Chordata; Mammalia; Primates; Hominidae.